UUAUUUUGUUGGCAUACACAUAAUUGUGCAAAUUUUGUUUUUGUUCUUGCUGUUAGCAAACUUAACAAAGUUUUAGCUGUUUUGCGAGCAGGAGUCAAGGUUUUUCUAUGUAGUAGUUAUGCGUAUUGGAUGGAGUUGAUAUAGUGAAGAAAGUUGAAUUCACACUUCACUCAACCCAUUUUCCCCUCCAUAAGAACACACCAGGAACUACAUACCAAAAUUUAAUUUAAUGAAUAUCAUUCGCCCUAUUCCUAUCAAAUACUAUCUCUUUUGGUGAAUGCGAUACACAUCCGUUGACAUUGAAUUGGAUGAAUAUCACCACCCUUAUCACUAUCAAAUACUAUCUGUUUUGGCGAAUGCGAUACACAACCGUGGACAUUGAGUUGGUUUCACUAUAAAAAUGAAUACCUUGUGUAGUGACAAUUGUUGUUCUUUACCAAUUUAAAAUAGAUGUACACAUUGAACCUGCAAGGCUAAUGAGUUGUAAAGAAAAUAAUGAUGACUCCCUCUCAACAAUAAGGUCUGCUGAGAUGAAACUUAGACGACGUGAAAUGGAUAGACUGGUUUCUGCAGAAAAAAGAGAGGCACAAUUAUUACAACGUCAAACAAAUAGUCACGAGCUAAAAAGAAAUGCUAUAUCUGCAACAAUAGCUUUUCAUGUGCAAGAUCAUCCUGCUGCAAGUGUACAAAGUUGCUGCUCCACCUCUCAGAAUCCUCAUCAAAUGGACUUUUCUACUAUUCCCGCAGCAAAAGGGUAUUUUUGAGGAAAAAUGUAAUGAAGAUGUACAUAUUCGGUUUGGAAUUAAGCUGUAAGAUAGUCAUGUUAUGAUUUAUUGAGUUCAUUACUUAAUUGAUGUAAGCUGAUACACCGCUGCUAACAAGAGAUAGAAGACACACAGAGAUACAUAUUAAUUAGGCAUCAUCACCUCCGUUGACUCCUCCAAGUCAGAGUAAAAUUCUUGAAUCGUCAAUUCUGAAAAGCUUUGUUGGAAUUCAGGGAAUACAAGAACAUGUUGCAUUAACAUAAUUACAAUGCAAAGCUGCUCCAGAGUAUAUGGCCACAA
This is a long non-coding RNA of Solanum stenotomum, 1064 nucleotides long. RefSeq lists it as uncharacterized. NCBI's taxonomy places the organism in Eukaryota, Viridiplantae, Streptophyta, Magnoliopsida, Solanales, Solanaceae. The record is from RefSeq and is a predicted model, not a curated record. The transcript is spliced from 3 exons.